RNAcentral lists this long non-coding RNA (1450 nucleotides) under Anas platyrhynchos platyrhynchos (common mallard). RNAcentral describes it as "lncRNA (ENSAPLG00000017376.1)". Lineage: Eukaryota; Metazoa; Chordata; Aves; Anseriformes; Anatidae. The record is from RNAcentral.
ACACACCACAGAGGAGACUCAGUAGUCAAAGCAGCAUUUACCAGCCCAAAUGCAAACCCUUACUUUAGGGUCACAAGCAUUCAUGCAAACGACUUGUGUGUAAACACACCUGACUGUGUAUCCGUGCAGAACACUCAGGGCCAUUUGCAGCAGGGAAAGAAAGAGAGUGAGAAAGGGGAGUUCUUGGUGUCCUGCCCUCCUGAUGAAGAGCAUGGGUUUGUUUGCUGCUGCAUUGAAUACUCACUCCUGACUCUGGAGAAAGAUAGCAGAAAGGGAUUUCUUCUAGCUAAGUUGCUGAGUGUGGAGACAGAAAGGGAAAGAUUAACAUUUCAGAGAGCAACCUCAUUAUCUUCCACACCAUGGCCAUUCACAGUGAUGCCAAGAUUUAAUUCUUUAUCUCACAUGCCUAACAGAGCAACUGAAGUGCUGUCUAGAUGUGUAUCACACAAGAAAUAGACACAGCGAACCUAGAAAGCAGCAAUGUAUCUGCAGACUAGGAGAAGGAUAUUGCUUCUCUGUGGUACAAGUGAACAGAAAGAGUGUGCAUAGGAUUCAUCCCUAUUAUACAUAAGAAAGUCACAAAGAAGUCAAAGGUGAGUCCAAAAUUUGAGACCAAAGGCGAUAAGAUGCUGAAUUCAAGCCAUCUGAAAAUAUGCAUCUAAAGUGCCUGGCUGGAGGUGCAUAAGAAACCUGAGCUCCCAUUACAUUCAAAGGCAAACUAGGCAAUACAGACAACGUAGCCUAGAGAGUAACUCAGUUUGGAGAAAAGGCUGGACACUUCAUGGGCUCCAAAAUUAUGGCAGACACCCUGGUUUACUCACCUGAAUCCACGGCUGGUUGGCUGAAUCACUCCCCCAUCCCCUCUGACAAUUUGGGGAGCUCAGAUUCCUAUCACAUCUGCAGACACUCACAUAAAGAUAUUUAUACUAAUCCCAGGCUGAAUCCCAAUGCAAAUCUGUAGCUGACAAAUCACACAGCAAAGCCAGAGCUGAGUCUCAGAUUUCUGGAGCCUGUGCAAAAAUCCCCUGAAGGUCACAGCUCAGGGAGGCCAGGAGAGCACCAGGAAAGAGCACAGAGGGGACCUUGUGUACCCCUGUCCCAGCACAGAAAGGUUUCCCCUAGGUGUUGUUCCAAGCCUGUAACAGACAGGAGGAGGAGGAAUAACGUGCACAGAGCAAGGGUGCAAAGUUGACAUGCCAUUUACUUAAAAUACAAUGUGAGAGACAAGGGAAUGAUUUAGCUAAUCCAUCACACAUUUGCUUUUGUAAAAGUGGAAGGACACAUCUCUGAAACUGAAAGUCUGAAAUUCUGUGUAUCAGCAUUCAGGGAUAUAAACAACAAGUGCAGGCCAGGGCUCCCUCCAUGUCAGGGGCAGCCUGGCAGGGCCUGGCGGCAAGACCCUUUUCACCACCCCAGCCAGGAGCAGGGCAGAUAGGGGAAGCAGGGCAGC